GGUAAAUAGGCCCAAGACUAGCGUUUCAGUCUCCCAGUCUUCGGGCUCUGGAAGAAAGGCAUCUAACGAUGCAGGGGAGAGUCCCGAUUCCGGAUCUAAGAGUUUUAGGACUGGAUGGUUCGAUGGUAUGGAGAUAAUCGUGGAUCUUUGGCAGCUUUCUUGGGAGUGAAUGGAUAUGGCCCCCAUUCAGCUCUGUAUGCAAGCUCUGCCCCCAAGGCUGACCUUUAAAAAGCCUAAAAACAAUCUUCCCUGGCCUUGUACAAAUGUCCUUUUAUUUCUCAGAUUAUUUGGAUAUUUGUCUCUUGUCAUUUAAAUUUAAA
Non-coding RNA from Pelobates cultripes (western spadefoot toad), 320 nucleotides. Lineage: Eukaryota; Metazoa; Chordata; Amphibia; Anura; Pelobatidae. The record is from the annotation of a GenBank genome assembly.